GCUACUCGGAGGAAAGUGGCGAACGGGUGAGUAACACGUGAGCAAUCUACCCUCCAGUGAGGAAUAACCCCGCGAAAGCGGGGCUAAUACCGCAUGAAGAUCUGGAGCAUAUUCUUUCAAAGUUAAAGCCCUUCCCUCCGCUUGAAGAUGAGCUUGCGUCCUAUUACCUUGUUGCUAGGGUAAUGGCCUACCGAGGUUAUGAUGGGUAGCCGGCCUGAGAGGGUGUCCGGCCACACUGGAACUGGGACACGGUCCUGACUCCUACGGGAGGCUCCAGUGGGGAAUUUUGCGCAAUGGGCGAAAGCCUGACGCAGCGACGCCGCGUGGAGGAUGAAGGCUUUCGGGUUGUAAACUCCUGUCAGAGGUGAAGAAAACCCCCCCUAGGGGGGGCUUGACGGUAACCUCCCAGAAAGCCCCGGCUAACUACGUGCCAGCACCCGCGGUAUUACGUAGGGGGCACACGUUGCUCGGAAUUACUGGGCGUAUAGGGUGUGUAGGUGGCUGAACAAAUCGAGGAUGAAAUCCCGGGGCUCAGAUC
Molecule: ribosomal RNA, 538 nt
Filed under: uncultured bacterium
Lineage: Bacteria
Description: bacterial SSU rRNA
Rfam family: Bacterial small subunit ribosomal RNA
Source: RNAcentral